Molecule: non-coding RNA, 1079 nt
Organism: Odocoileus virginianus texanus
Lineage: Eukaryota; Metazoa; Chordata; Mammalia; Artiodactyla; Cervidae
Source: RefSeq, a predicted model, not a curated record
AAUGCAGCCUCUACCCCCCGAACAACCCUACAUGCAGUGGCAUCUACUCUCCCUCAACCCCCUUGAGCCUUUCACCAAGCUUAAGAGAUGGCACGAGAGAGGUCUGACAGGCGAGGUCUGAGGCAGCCCCCCAGCCCGUGGCAGGACACCACGCUGUCAUCUCUGGCCAGCCAUGAACAGGCCCUGGGCAUUUCUUUCACUGACGCCAAACCUGGCAACCCAGGGACUCUCUAUUCCUCCAGGACCAGGGGUUUUUUCCAGGAUUUCUGGCGUGCCCCAGUAGCCUGCACACCAACAGAGAGGCAGACAAGAUCAAGAGAACAGGUUUUGCACAGUUAGAGAAAGACUUUGAUGGUUCAUAACAUCAGGGAAAAAAUUCCAGUACCCCGGGGCAAGCUGCAAUGUGGAUGCUCCUUUCAGCAACCUGCCUCUGAUUGGAGCUGCCUGGAACCUCCCUGCCAAUCAGCAUGGGCGCUGGGAAACCUGGAACUUUAUAGCUUAGCAACGAGAAAUCUGGAGGAACUCUGGAAUUAAUUUAAGGAAACGAGAAGGGGAAAAAAAAAAAAAACUAGAAGGAAAUUAGUAGCCAAAUAAUCAGACUCCCUGACUUUAUUAUUACCUUUGUGGCCAAGGCAAGUCAUUUUCAGCAUUAAUUACAAGCAGAGAGGGAACCGGCCAGCUAUCUUGUCUCAAACUCUGCGAUGCUUUUUGUUCUGUUUUUUUUUCCCCCCUGCACUGGCGCUGGGGUGGAGAUGUGAACAGAGCCAAGAAAGAACAGACAAAACAGGUUUAUCUGCAACAAAGACAGAAAGAGAUCAAGAGGCAGCAGCCCAGUUCUGAAACACCCCUCUGAGAAGCCCAGCUCGGACGUGCGAAGCAAAUGGUGGUGGCUUUUCCACCCUCAUCUUCUCUCUGCUGGUUUCUCAUCUCACAGUAGAAUUGCGUUUCCCCUAGAAACUUGGCACCGGAGGUGUCAGCCCGGGAACAUAUUUGUUUGUGUAAAUUAAAAGGAGAAUAUGUUUUGACCAUAUUUAAGUUCUAGCUGUGCUAAAGAAAUAAAUACUGAGUUGCACAAUGCG